CCUACGGGUGGCAGCAGUGAGGAAUAUUGGUCAAUGGACGAGAGUCUGAACCAGCCAAGUAGCGUGAAGGAUGACUGCCCUAUGGGUUGUAAACUUCUUUUAUAUGGGAAUAAAAUGUUCCACGUGUGGGAUUUUGUAUGUACCAUAUGAAUAAGGAUCGGCUAACUCCGUGCCAGCAGCCGCGGUAAUACGGAGGUACCGAGCGUUAUCCGGAUUUAUUGGGUUUAAAGGGAGCGUAGGUGGAUUGUUAAGUCAGUUGUGAAAGUUUGCGGCUCAACCGUUAAAUUGCAGUUGAAACUGGCAGUCUUGAGUACAGUAGAGGUGGGCGGAAUUCGUGGUGUAGCGGUGAAAUGCUUAGAUAUCACGAAGAACUCCGAUUGCGAAGGCAGUUCACUGGACUGCAACUGACACUGAGGCUCGAAAGUGUGGGUAUCAAACAGGAUUAGAUACCCGAGUAGUC
RNAcentral lists this ribosomal RNA (460 nucleotides) under uncultured bacterium. Its description in RNAcentral is "partial 16S ribosomal RNA". It matches the Rfam family "Bacterial small subunit ribosomal RNA", at positions 338 to 795 of the family's 1533-position model. The record is from RNAcentral.